CCUACGGGGGGCUGCAGUAGGGAAUCUUCCACAAUGGACGAAAGUCUGAUGGAGCAACGCCGCGUGUGUGAUGAAGGGUUUCGGCUCGUAAAACACUGUUGUAAGAGAAGAAUGACAUUGAGAGUAACUGUUCAGUUUGCGACGGUAUCUUACCAGAAAGGAACGGCUAAAUACGGGCCAGCAGCAGCGGGAAGACGUACGUUCCAAGCGUUAUCCGGAAUUACUGGGAGUAAAGCGAACGCAGACGGUUAUUUAAGUCCGAAGUGAAAGCCCAUAGCUUAACUAUAGAAGUGCUUUGGAUACUGUGUGACUUGAGUGCAGUAGAGGAGUGUGGAAGUCCAUGUGUAGCGGUGAAAUGCGUAGAUAUAUGGAAGAACACCAGUGGCGAAGGCGGCUCUCUGGAAUGUAACUGACGUUGAGGCUCGAAAGUGUGGGUAGCAAGCAGGAUUAGAUACCCUUGUAGUC
This 465-nucleotide ribosomal RNA is filed under the name uncultured Weissella sp. RNAcentral describes it as "bacterial SSU rRNA". It matches the Rfam family "Bacterial small subunit ribosomal RNA", at positions 338 to 795 of the family's 1533-position model. The record is from RNAcentral. Lineage: Bacteria; Bacillati; Bacillota; Bacilli; Lactobacillales; Lactobacillaceae.